This 346-nucleotide ribosomal RNA is filed under the name uncultured bacterium. RNAcentral describes it as "bacterial SSU rRNA". It matches the Rfam family "Bacterial small subunit ribosomal RNA", at positions 335 to 698 of the family's 1533-position model. The record is from RNAcentral.
ACUCCUACGGGAGGCAGCAGUGGGGAAUAUUGGACAAUGGGCGCAAGCCUGAUCCAGCCAUGCCGCGUGGGUGAAGAAGGCCCUAGGGUUGUAAACCCCUUUCAGCGGGGAAGAUAAUGGCGGUACCCGCAGAAGAAGCCCCGGCUAACUCCGUGCCAGCAGCCGCGGUAAUACGGAGGGGGCUAGCGUUGUUCGGAAUUACUGGGCGUAAAGCGCGCGUAGGCGGACCUGCAAGUCGGGGGUGAAAGCCCGAGGCUCAACCUCGGAACUGCCUUCGAUACUGCGGGUCUCGAGUCCGGGAGAGGUGAGUGGAAUUCCUAGUGUAGCGGUGAAAUGCGUAGAGAUC